Molecule: ribosomal RNA, 2812 nt
Filed under: Candidatus Woesearchaeota archaeon
Lineage: Archaea; Nanobdellati; Candidatus Woesearchaeota
Description: 23S ribosomal RNA
Rfam family: Archaeal large subunit ribosomal RNA
Source: RNAcentral
GGUGGAUGACUUUGCUCAAAAGUCGAGGAAGGACGCGACAAGCAGCGAUAUGCUUUGGGGAGUGGCAAGUACACUUUGAUCCAAAGAUUUCUGAAUGAGACUUCUCAUCAGAUCCUUCGGGAUGGAUAACGCGGGGAAGUGAAGCGUCUCAGUACCCGCAGGAAAAGAAAUCAACCGAGAUGUUGUUAUUAUCAGCGAGAGAAAGCAACGAAAGGCAAACUGAAUCUUUUAUAGAAAUAUAAAAGAGAUGUGGUGUUUGGACUGUUAUAAUUUGUCGCAUUUAGACCUGAAAUUUUCUGGAAAGAAAUGCUAAAGAGGGUGAUAGCCCCGUAAGGGAAUAAUUGCAUGAAUAGACAGGAUCCAGAGUACUACUACUUUGAUAUGUGGUAGGAAUGUAGGAGUCAUCAACUUCUAACCUUAAAUACUAUUUGAGUCAGAUAGCAAACAAGUACCGUGAGGGAAAGUUGAAAAGGACCCCUAACAGGGAGUCAAAAGACCCUGAAACCUAAUAGCGAUAGUUUGGUACGGCUUUACGAAGUUGUACCGUAAGUUUUGAAUAACUUGCCAGGGAGUUUAUUAAUGUGGCGAGACUAACCAAACGGGAGUCGAAGGGAAACCAAAGACCGCGCAGGUAACGAGGCGGUUAGGUGUGAAAGUGCCUAUAGUCACAUUAGUUUAACCCGAAACCGGACGAUCUAAUCCUGGGUAAGGUGAAGUAAGAGUAAGAUCUUAUGGAGGCCUGAAGAGAUGCUACGUGCAAGUGCUCUUCUAACCUGGGAUUAGGGGUGAAAAGCCAAUCGAGUCCGGUGAUAGCUGGUUCCUAUUAAAAUUGGCCUUAGUCAAGUCUUGACCGAGAUAGCCAACACUGUAGAGAUACGGAUCUAAGAUUUUUGCCUGGAAACGGGUGGGUCUUUCGUCCAACUCCGAAGGUGUUGGCAUUGUAGACGUCAGGAAACGGCGUAUCGAUUUAAGGUCGGUGCGCGAGAGGGGAACAACCCAAACUGUAGUUAAGGCCCCUAAAUACUGUUUAAGUGUUAAAGGGUGAAAAGUGUCGUUAGCCAUAGACAGCAAGGAGGUUGGCUUAGAAGCAGCCUUCCUAUAAUAAGUGCGUAACAGCUUACUUGUCGAGGUUAACGGCCUUGAAAAUGGACGGGACUAAAUCAGUUGCCGAUACUACAGAUCACUGCAAAGUGUAUGGUAAAUAGGUGUACUGUUUGAGUAGAAGCUCUUCUGAAAAGGAGGGUGGAUCGGGUAGUAAUAAGAAUCCUGGUGGUAGUAAGAGCGAAGCAGAGUGAGAAUCUCUGUCACCGAAAGGGCAAGGGUUUCUUGGCAAUGAAAAUCAGCCAAGAGUAAGUUGGUCCUAACCUCCAUCACAAGUUGAUGGGAGGGAAAGGGAAAAAGGUUAAUAUUCCUUUACGCUUUAAGUAUAAGUGGCAACACAAGUUUUUUUGCUAACGCUUUGGAAUAGGCUGACACAAAUUAUCGUUUGUGUUAACGAGAAUAAAUCAAAGGAGUAUCGUUAUGAUGAGAAUUUGAUUAAAUCUCGGAAUAGUGGUUCUAAAGAAUCAUUCAGUUGAUUUCUUGAGCCCCUGAAAAGGCAAAAAUUCAGAUCUUAAAGUGCCAUACCCAGAACCGGUACAGGUGCCCCUGGGUGAGAAGCUCAAGGUGUAAUGGUAUAAUCCGACUAAGGGAAUUCGGCAAAUUGGCCCCGUAUCUUCGGUACGAGGGGUCCCUGUGGUUGUGUAAUUUUAUGUUAUGCAAUUGCAGGGCGCAGAGACUAAGGAGGUCCGACUGUUUAACAAAAACUUAACCUUCUGCUAGCCUGUAAAGGUGCGUAUAGAAGGUGACGUCUGCCCAGUGUCAGUAUCUCAAACUUUCUUUCAAGGAAGCUAAGGACUGAUAAACGGCGGGGGUAACUAUAACUCUCUUAAGGUAGCGAAAUGCCUUGUCGUUUAAUUGACGACUCGCAUGAAUGGCGUAACGAGAUCUCCACUGUCCCUAGUUGGAAGCCACUGAACACUCUAUCCUGGUGCAAAGGCCAGGGAUCUCCAGUGGGAAGCGAAGACCCCGUGAAACUUUACUGUAGUUUGUCGUUGUGAUGUUAGUUCUAUUGCAUAGUGUAAGUGGGAGCUGUUUGAAUCAUGCAUUUUCGGGUGUAUGUUAGGCACUAAUGUAACACCACUCCUUAGAAUUGGCGUUGCUUACUUGUUUACAAGGACAUCGACUGAUGGACAGUUUGGCUGGGGUGGCACCCCGCCGAAAAAAUAUCGGCGGGGCCCUAAGGUUAGCUCAGACGGGUUGGAAAUCCGUUGUAGAGUGCAAGAGCAAAAGCUAGCCUGAUUGGAUCUUUAAUAUGACGAGUUCCAAACACGAAAGUGUGGUCUAGCGAACCUCUAUGUCCUCAUUGAUGGGGGCUAGAGAUGACCGAAAAGUUACUCCGGGGAUAACAGAGUUGUCGCGCCUGAGAGCUCAUAUCGACGGCGCGGUUUGCUACAUCGAUGUCGGCUCUUCCUAUCCUGGAUGUGCACAAGCAUCCAAGGGUGAAGGUGUUCACUUAUCAAAAGGGAUCGUGAGCUGGGUUCAGUACGCUGUGAGGCAGUAUGUUUGAUAUCUACUGGAGAUGUAGAAUGUCUGAGAGGAAGGAUCUUCUAGUACGAGAGGAACGAAGAAUCGAAGCCACUGGUCUACCGGUUAUCUGAUAAGGUAUGCCGGGCAGCUACGCUUUAAGAGAUAAGUGCUGAAAGCAUCUAAGCACGAAACUCACCUCAAAAAGAGACAUUUUCGGGAUUCCUGUAAAAGACAGGUUUGAUAG